CCUUGUACACACCGCCCGUCAAGCCACGGAAGCUGGGAGCACCCGAAGUCGUUUGCCUAACCCGCCUCGGCGGGAGGACGGCGCCGAAGGUGAAACUAGUGACUGGGGCU
This 110-nucleotide ribosomal RNA is filed under the name uncultured bacterium. RNAcentral's name for it is "partial 16S ribosomal RNA". It matches the Rfam family "Bacterial small subunit ribosomal RNA", at positions 1379 to 1482 of the family's 1533-position model. The record is from RNAcentral.